CGGCAGCACGGGGGCAACCCUGGUGGCGAGUGGCGAACGGGUGAGUAAUACAUCGGAACGUGUCCUGUAGUGGGGGAUAGCCCGGCGAAAGCCGGAUUAAUACCGCAUACGCUCUACGGAGGAAAGGGGGGGAUCUUAGGACCUCUCGCUACAGGGGCGGCCGAUGGCAGAUUAGCUAGUUGGUGGGGUAAAGGCCUACCAAGGCGACGAUCUGUAGCUGGUCUGAGAGGACGACCAGCCACACUGGGACUGAGACACGGCCCAGACUCCUACGGGAGGCAGCAGUGGGGAAUUUUGGACAAUGGGCGCAAGCCUGAUCCAGCAAUGCCGCGUGUGUGAAGAAGGCCUUCGGGUUGUAAAGCACUUUUGUCCGGAAAGAAAACUUCUGCCCUAAUACGGCGGGAGGAUGACGGUACCGGAAGAAUAAGCACCGGCUAACUACGUGCCAGCAGCCGCGGUAAUACGUAGGGUGCAAGCGUUAAUCGGAAUUACUGGGCGUAAAGCGUGCGCUGGCGGUUCGCUAAGACAGAUGUGAAAUCCCCGGGCUUAACCUG
This 554-nucleotide ribosomal RNA is filed under the name uncultured Burkholderia sp. RNAcentral's name for it is "bacterial SSU rRNA". It matches the Rfam family "Bacterial small subunit ribosomal RNA", at positions 67 to 616 of the family's 1533-position model. The record is from RNAcentral. Lineage: Bacteria; Pseudomonadati; Pseudomonadota; Betaproteobacteria; Burkholderiales; Burkholderiaceae.